RNAcentral lists this ribosomal RNA (116 nucleotides) under Gallus gallus (chicken). Lineage: Eukaryota; Metazoa; Chordata; Aves; Galliformes; Phasianidae. The record is from RNAcentral.
GCCUACGGCAUCCCACCCUGGUAACGCCGAUUUCGUUGAUCUCGGAAGCUAAGCAGGGUCGGGCCUGGUUAGUACUUGGAUGGGAGACCUCCUGGGAUUACCGGGUGCUGUAGGCU